Long non-coding RNA from Eutrema salsugineum, 5343 nucleotides. RefSeq lists it as uncharacterized. Lineage: Eukaryota; Viridiplantae; Streptophyta; Magnoliopsida; Brassicales; Brassicaceae. The transcript has 4 exons. The record is from RefSeq and is a predicted model, not a curated record.
ACUUGUCUGCAUCCGCCUACUUGAAACCGAACUAUUUUUUUUUGGUUUGUUUGGCCGGUUUAAUUAUUAGGCCGAACUCCCUGCUUUUAUUUCUUCUGAUCUAAACCUCUGUAUCCUCCUCAUGCUGCCGUCUUUACCAUCUCUUUGAGGUCGACAGCCUCUUCUCUUCGUCUCUGACGAACUAAUCUUACCCGAGAUCGACAGAUUCUUGCCGACCUGGCCUCCUUGAUCCGCCGAUCUCCUCGUCUUCGAGGUCAUAUGCCCACCUACUUACUCUAAAUCUGAGGUCUCCAACUCGUGCUGGCCUGCUUUUUUGCUUAGAGCCCGCCGACCUUCUUGCUUCAAUCCGGCGUCUUCGAGUUCAGCUUGACUCUGCCGACCUUGUUCUCCUCUUCUGAUCCAACAGUGAGUUUGAUUUUUUCCUUUAGUCUUAGCCGCCUCAGAAUUACCGAGCUGCUUCCUUGUUCUCUCUAUUGUCACUCACGCUGCUGUGUUGAAAUAAAGUUCGGCGAGCUGUUAUUUCUUCGAGUUUGCAAUGAGUUGUUUCUCCUUGGGGCUCAGGGUAUCCUCUUCCUUGCCGACCUGCAUUUGUCCUCCCUAAGGCAAACUUUUUGGAGUCCAUCUAGUUCGUCGUCCUCGUCUGGCUGUUCCUCGACGUCUGGCACGUCUUCAAAGGCUGAUCUUCGGUUGCAAACUUUCGAUGAAGCCGGCCCAUCUCAUCUUGUGGAUGAGAUCAGCUCAUCUUGUGGUCGCUUCUCCUGCCUCAUGAAGACGCCAACCUUGCUCAGGACUGCACAGGGAAGCUGAUCCCGGUGAAUUAGAUCAGAAUUUUCACAAAGAGACGGAGCAGAUCAGUGAAAUCGUCCACGAGAGUCGUAGCGUUUCCUCUGAACCCGAAGUAGCGGCAGGUGGUGAUCCUAGGCCUGAGGUCGUUAUUGCCAUUCUUGCGGCUCGUCAUGAGAUUGUUUGCCUGGUUUCUGUCAAAGCUUCUCGUUUAAAGGCUAAGACAAUCAGGUCGGCACUGGGAGAAGCCAAUGUUCCUUGUAGUAUUAAGGCGAUGAAACCUAAACCCUCAGAUAGACCCUGGGACGCUCCAGAAGGCUACAUCUGUGUCUACGAAGAUUUUUUCGGCAUUGUGGUCUGUUUUCCCAAUUGGGUACUGCAAUCGUCGUAGGGUUGCUAUAUCUCAUAUGAUGCCCUCGGUAACAUACAAAUAAUUAUACAUUCUAAAUAAUUAUAUAGUUAAAAUGAUUUGGGCUUCAUAUCCUUUGGAGUUUCUACAUGAAUUGUCAAACAUUUAUAUAGGAAUUAGAAAAUGUUACAUAAUAGGACAUCAAAUUUUGCCGUAUAUAUUGAUGGGCCCGAGCUGAAGUUCUUUGCAAAGAGUGGAGUCUGUAAUUAUGUAUGCAGGAGAUAUAAUAUAUUGUAUGUUAAGCCAUUAACCUCUAAUGUAUUGGUGAUUAUAUAAAAGUAGUUAUAUGCAGUCUUAAGCACCAACCUUGGCCUCUCAAAUAUUUAGAAAGAGUUUUCUCUCUCCUCCUUUUCUCUCUCGAGUGAUAACAGAUCUGAAACUUUUUUCUCUUGUCGACAACUUGAAUCCCUCCUAUCUCCCUCUCCGGCGUGUGUGGUGGUCCACCGUCGCCGGAGGAGGGACCCUGGUAAACUCCUCUUUCGUUUCUUAGGUGUAUUUUUUCAUUUUGAUUGUCAGCUCGGUGUGGCGUCAAAGUCAAGCUUCUCCAAUAUGUGGUCUUCGUUCGACAGCGACGGAGCUUCAGUGGCGUCGCUGAGGUUGUGGUGGUGGAAGGCGGUCUCCUUAUGGCGAUGCACCUCUUUGCCGUUCGCCUCAUUCUUUCUUGGUGGGUUUUGCUUUCUUUGGUGUUCACUUUCGUUUCCCUCCGACGGUCUCUUUCGGCUUUUCUUUGAGAGUCUUCGUCGUCAGCGGCGUGCUCUCCGAUUUUCCUCAGUGGUGUAGCUUAUCUUUCCCCUGUUAAAUUCCAUCUCCACCUUGUUUUGUUCAUAGAGGUGUUCCCGAGGCAGGGGUGGUGGCGAUGUAGGCUUUGAUCUCUCCGGCUCUGGCGGCAGCGAUUCAGACCUAGAGGACGGGUUCAGUCUCUGGUUAUGGUGUCGCGGGAGAUGUUUUUGCUUGUGGCUAGCCUCCGAGUGGUGGCUCUCAUUUCUUCCGGCGUGUGUGGCUCCACCACCAGUGUCUCUCGUUGGUGGCUCUAGGCGGGUGACUCAGCGGCAGUUUCUCUUGGUUUGUUCUUUGAAGAAGUUCCGGUGCUGUUUUUUCACAGUUGUGGCUCGAGUUUCGCUAUGGGUGUGUGUUUGUGUUUUCAGUAAUUUUCAGCAGUUUUGCAGUUUGGUCUUGGUCUUGGCUCGUGAGGGCUCCAAUUGUGGUUCGGUGCAGUUAAUGAAGCCUUUCGAGAUGUGUAUUGUAGAAGCGCCGGUCUGUUAUCCGGUUAGAUUGUAACUGUGGAGGUUGGUCCCUAUGGAGGCUUUGGUUUCUAUGGGAAUGGUUGUUGAAAGUGACUUCUCUGAUUGCCACUCAGACUUCCUUGUCACCGGUUGCAAUUCAGUCCGUUACGCAUUCCAGAGAUUACGUCAGUUUUCGAAGAAGCUGUAGGUAUCUUUUUCCGGCGGUUAGAGGACGGGUCUCGGAAGGAUGCUCGCAGCAACUAUGAUGUGAACUCCAGUUCUUUGAACUGCGGCAAAAACAUGAUGGUCUGUGCUUUGGCCCGUCAUUGCUGUUUUCUCACCUUGUUUGAUUUUGGUUUUAAUUUCUUUGUCUGGCUUGCCGGUUCUUUAGCUCUUUACUAUUUCUGUUGUUUCUUUGUUGUUUUUGUAUGUUAAUAGAUUUUGGAGUUUAAAUGAUUUUUCCCCAAAGUUAUAAUUUUUUUUUUUGUCAAAAACAUAAAUACUUAAAACGGAUUGAAAAUCCAAAACGAGGAAAUUACAAUUUUCAGUGGGCGCAAGGUUUUUUUUUUACUGUUUUUGCUUUAGGCCAGAAAUACCAUCAAGCCAGCCAACUUUGUGAGGUGUUUGACAAAACUACAGAUGUAAUUCUUUGUGACUAAGGUACCCCUUCAUGAGAUUUAAUUAGAACUUGGGCUCAGUCAUGUGAUGGUUGAAGCUGCCUUCUUUAACUAACUUUGCUUUAUUGUCUGUGUUCUAACAGCAAAGUGGGGAGAGAGAGAGAGAGAGAGAGAGAGAGAGAGAGAGAGAGAGAGAGAGAGAGAGAGAGAGAGAGAGAGAGAGAGGGAGAGACUCUAAGGUAUUUACAAAUUUAAAGAUUACCGUAGAGGUACUGUAAUAACCCGUUCAAGAGAUCAGAAAGCGGUUAAUAAAAAAUUUUAGAAAAGCAAGGAAGCAGGUAAGGUUAAUGGUCAAGAGCUAUAGGUUUUAGCUAUAGAAGUUAAGUUUUUGUCUAUGGAAGUCAAGUAUUUAGUCGAGCGGGUGGAUCGGUGGGUCGUUUCGGUUCGAUCGGAAGGUCAGAAAUGGAUUGGUCAGGAGAAGCUGCUCGAUAACUCAGCAGCUUGACUCAGAUGCUUGACUCAGCAGCCUGCUUGCCUGCUUGAGCAGCUUAGAAACACACCAGGCACGCGCCGGGAAACGUUCUGCACGCAUCGGAACACGCUUUUCAUGCGCUGGGAAACGCUCUGCACGCGCCGGGACACGCUUUUCACGCGCUGGCACACGCCAAGCACGACACAGCAGCUUCAUGUUCUGCUUCACAUGCUUAUGCCUUCACACGCAAGCACAACACAGCUGCUCGAGAAUCUUUUCUGUAAGCACAACACAGCUGCUCGGGAAUCUUUUUAGAUUCUCCAACUUAUCCCUAUAAAUAGAAGCUUUAGGAUUUAGUUUUCAGUAUAGAAAACAGCAAUGAAGCUCUGCUAUAAAAGUUCCGGCGACCGUGACCGCCGUCGACCACCACGAACCACCACGCGAGUCGUAGUCGGGUAGCUAGUCGGGUUCAGUCAGGUAGAUCAUUUUAGUUCGAAGUCACAUGUCUAACCUAGUUUUUUGUUCUGAAUCCAAAUAUGACCUCUGUUUGGCCCGGUUCUGGUCGGAUCUCUAUAAAAAUUAAGUUGUGUACGUGACAGAGAGAUUAUCCUAAACCAUAAGAAACCGUUAUUGUCUUGAAAGGCCAAGGUGAGUCUCGGUGUGGGUUGUUUGUUGCUUGAAUGCAAAGCAAGUAGAGAUAUAUAUAUAUAUAUAUAUAUGUAUAUUGCGUGUUGCAUUGCGAUAUGAAUCCACGGCAUGUGCACUAGCACAUAUUUUGGUGUCGUGUGGAUGAGAGACGUGAGUUUUGAUGCCAUGUGACGCUUCCCUCAGCCAUGUGAUGUGAUGAGAUAUCCGGGCUUGCGAGACGAAUAUGAGAAUGUUGUGAAAUUCCAGGUCGAUGAGUGAUGCAUGAGAGAUGACAGUCGCGACCUUUGGCCUGUGUGGCAGGGGUCCAAUUUGUGCAAAAUGUGAGAUUUUUCUUUGUGCGGGAUCCGGUCAAUGGCAUCUGAGAGAUGUGACGUUUGGGUGUAUAUUGGGUGUAUGCAUGUAUAAUAAAUAAAUAUUAUCAUGCAUCUGAUGUGAGAUUAUUAUUGUUGUUGCGUGAUGCGUGUUGUGUGAAAUUAUUGGGGUUUAUGGGGUUGCUUGAACCGUUAGGGGGAAAAGAACUCACUGAGCAAUUAGUUGCUCAUGACUCUACUUGUUUUGCAGGUAACCCUAGCGAGUAGCCUUUGGAGGAGGAGCUGUAGGUCAGCCGGUGUAGAUUUUGUCUUUUGCAAGUAAUAAGUAGGUUUUCUCGAUAUUUUUGAUGUAAAUGUUUUCAGGCCCACGUAUAUAUCGGAUUUUGUUGUAACGGAUGCAACACAAAUAUAUACUAUGUAUGUUUUAUAAAAGCUCAGGCUUUCGAAUGAUACUAGUCUUUGUUCGAGACGAACCAACUAUCGGACACGUCUCAGGUUGAAAAGCUGGGAGACGCGUUCGGUAGGAACAGCGUGUGCAGACGGCGACCUUGGGCUCUUGGACGUGCAUGUUCUUGUUUUAUUGGAGCACGGCUAAGAACCACGGGCCAUCAGUCUGUGCGUGCAACAGUAACACCAUCGAUCUGGUUGGGUUCGAACGGUCGGCCGUGCAUGUUCUUGUUUGAUUGUUGUGCGGUCAGUCACUGCACUCGGAUCUAGACCGAGUCGGGGGUGUUACAAAGGUCGUAUCAGAGCAUGGUUUCCAUGUUCACUCGGGACCCGUUUUCAAAUGUUUUAUCGAGUUAAUGAGUCGCAAAAGACACUUAGGAAACCGGAUAGCUUCUGCAUUUAGGAAUAUAGAAUAUGAUUCAACUUUGUUCCU